UCGAACGUGAAGCCACCUUCGGGUGGUGGAAAGUGGCAGACGGGUGAGUAACGCGUGGGAACGUGCCCUUCGGUUCGGGAUAACCCAGGGAAACUUGGGCUAACACCGGAUACGCCCUUCGGGGGAAAAAUUUAUUGCCGAAGGAUCGGCCCGCGUCGGAUUAGCUUGUUGGUGGGGUAAAAGCCUACCAAGGCGACGAUCCGUAGCUGGUCUGAGAGGAUGAUCAGCCACACUGGGACUGAGACACGGCCCAGACUCCUACGGGAGGCAGCAGUGGGGAAUAUUGGACAAUGGGCGCAAGCCUGAUCCAGCCAUGCCGCGUGGGUGAAGAAGGCCUUAGGGUUGUAAAUCCCUUUCAGCGGGGAAGAUAAUGACGGUACCCGCAGAAGAAGCCCCGGCUAACUCCGUGCCAGCAGCCGCGGUAAUACGGAGGGGGCUAGCGUUGUUCGGAAUUACUGGGCGUAAAGCGCGCGUAGGCGGACCUGCAAGUCGGGGGUGAAAGCCCGAGGCUCAACCUCGGAACUGCCUUCGAUACUGCGGGUCUUGAGUCCGGGAGAGGUGAGUGGAAUUCCUAGUGUAGAGGUGAAAUUCGUAGAUAUUAGGAAGAACACCAG
Molecule: ribosomal RNA, 614 nt
Filed under: uncultured bacterium
Lineage: Bacteria
Description: bacterial SSU rRNA
Rfam family: Bacterial small subunit ribosomal RNA
Source: RNAcentral